This 923-nucleotide long non-coding RNA is filed under the name Salmo salar (Atlantic salmon). RNAcentral's name for it is "lncRNA (ENSSSAG00000094648.1)". Lineage: Eukaryota; Metazoa; Chordata; Actinopteri; Salmoniformes; Salmonidae. The record is from RNAcentral.
CUGUGCGCUGCUCUUGUGGGCUGUGGUGUCUGGAGUUAUGUUCUUUGGAUAGAGUGGUGUGGGGACCACAGGUGACCUUUCUGUCUUCCUCUCUCCUGAGGGUCCCAGCAGAGCACUGGUGUGAGUAUCUUGGGGAGGUUUGAUCUUUAACUGACAAGGGGAAUGUGCUGGUGUGGGAGGAGGAGUUGUUCUGGUUUUGAUUACUUGUGCUGAGUCUGUGUUCCAGAGGUUCCCUAUGAGAAGCAGUGGUAUUGCCAAUGAGGUGAUGUGAGGGUGUGGUAGUGAGGGUUGUGGUAGGCUCCAGUUGUUCUCUUAGAGUGUGGAUUCUGGUGUCUCUGUGUUGUAGUAAUUCUAUGACUGCUGACAAGUCCCUUUGUAGCUCCUCCCUGAUGUCAGCUACCUCUCUCCUCAUGAUGCUCUCGACCAUUGACAGUUUCUCUCUUAGCUCCUCCUUAUCCUGCCUCAGAACCACAAUGAAAAUGUAAAGGUAGAGAACACACAGAAGGCUGUUGUAUAAGAGAGGGAGAAGUGUCUAUCCAUGUAUACGGCUGCCCCACGAUGAGGACAACGAAACCGGGCUCAAGGAAUGAACAGUUAAGCCCAUGUCCUGGAUCUCCCAUCAUAAUAACCAAGGAGCAACAUUUUGGAGCAAACUUUAUUAGUCAAGGAAGAAGCACACAAACGGUAGCCUAGUGGUUAGAGCGUUGGACUAGUAACCAUUGCAAGAUCGAUCCCCGAGCUGACAAGGCCCUACACCCAAACAAGGGCACUCCGUUCAUCCACCUCUGGCCUGCUCGCCUCCCUACCUCUGAGGAAGCACAGUUCCCGCUCAGCCCAGUCAAAACUGUUCGCUGCUCUGGCACCCCAAUGGUGGAACAAGCUCCCUGACGACGCCAGGACAGCGGAGUCAAUCACCACCUUCC